This 2290-nucleotide long non-coding RNA is filed under the name Oryzias sinensis (Chinese medaka). RNAcentral's name for it is "lncRNA (ENSOSIG00000016075.1)". Lineage: Eukaryota; Metazoa; Chordata; Actinopteri; Beloniformes; Adrianichthyidae. The record is from RNAcentral.
GGGGGGGGGGGGGGGCGCUGGGGGGGUUACUCCCCCAGGGAGUAAGUUAGUGUAGAACCGCCACUGGCUGUAGUCCUCUAUUACUGUAUUCGUGAUUUCUCCCAACUCUGGUCCCUACCAACAGCUCUCUCUGGUGGACAGAAGUCAUGAAGGCACCUGCACUUUUGUCUGCUCAAAAUACAAGUUUGGAUGUAAGACGGAAAAUUUUGAACCAGCUUAGACAAAAAACCUCAUCUUCCAUCGAUACACAAAAACAUUUUUUGCACAUUUCUCAAAAACCACCAGAGUGAAGAAAGUUUCUUCCUCCCUGAAGUUUCCAUUCUUCAGUCUGAGGCCUGGAGAGACACUUUCUGCUCAUUCUCCAGAGAUCCCUGAUGUCCUGAUCAUCAGUCGGUGUGGUUAGAGAAGCAAACUUGUGAACUUUGAGGCCUGAACUUUUCUCCUGGUCUACAGAAAAAGCCCUGAGAUGCAUCUCCAUCCAGAGUCUGCUUUGGCUCUCAGCUCCAAGAGCAAAGGGUCGUCUGUCACACACUGACAUCAACCUAGAACUGUUGUCUUAUCUAAACAGGAACGCAUCUUCAGUGGAGACAACAGGAGCAUAGGUCAAAGACUAAAGAACACAGUUCAAAGAUUUUUUCAGAACAUUAUGUUUGGGGUUAAAUGUGUCAUUUUAAUGGCAUCGUUUAUGGAGUCAGAAGUUCCUCCUGGACCUGGAUUGUGUAACAACAAAUUUACAGCAAGUGACAGGAGACAAAGUCCAGCAAAGCUGCUGAAAAUCAAACAUGACAGGCCGUUCCACUCCUCUAAACUUGAACUUUUAUAUUACAUACAGUUUUACUGUAAAGGUGAAGAAAUGUUGUUGUUUAAUAGGUCUUAACUAUAUUUAUGUUCAGGUGAUGAUAUAUAGCUUUACAUGAUCCAAAUGUUUUACCAGGAUUUGUCCAAUCAAAGGUGAGGAUGAGGUUUAUGGAAAAUGUUUGUUUUUUGAAAGACACCACCAGAAAGGAUGCUUUCCAACAACAGGAAGUCACAGUAGCUCUUCAUGCAGACUUCCUGUCACGGUGAACAUCUCAAACAUCUCCUUUAGGAGGGCUAAAAAUGCAGGGAAUCUUAUUUAGCUGUAAAAAAACAUAAUAUGUAGAAAUGGACUGAAUGAUUAUCUCCUUCAUGCUGUAAAGCCUCAGGAAGAAACUCUAUAAAACCCUGAUGUGUCAUCGCACUAUGCAGGCCUUUCUGUCAAACAUUCACCCCCCCAGGAGUGAGUCAGUGCUGCCAGGUAAAGUUGAUUUGGCAGAUUUAUGGCUCCAGAUACCUUUAUGUGCUUCAGAUUAAAAGGUUUGUUUGUUUUGAUGACUUUUAUUUGUUUGAAUCUGAAUUUCAUGAUUUAAAAACAGCAGCUUUAUUAAAGUUCACACAAGGUUUUUACAGUUUUUCUCAGUCGCUUUGGUGCAUUUUUGCACACCCGUUACUGCAACCUCCACAACCUUCAGUCACUAGGACGCAACCAUGUGGCUGUUUCAUGUUCAUCUCUUGAAAUAGCAAAGGCUUUUGGACACGAAGCAGUAGAUGAAAUACAAAUCUCUGCACAAUGCUCACUUUGACUUGCUUAUGAUCAUUAUUAAUUUGUUAUUAUCAGAGUUGUCAAAACUGAUAAAACUGUGUUCCCCAUGUAUUUGCAUUUCACAUGUUUGCAGAUUGUUUUGGUCAUGUGACUCAGAAACUCAGUUCAAGAUGUCUAUAUAAGACUUUUGUGUCCCAGUUCCCACUUCCUGCUAAAUUUUUACAGACAUUUCCACUGGCUAUACUCGAAGUUUAUGACCCUGCAUGGUGAAAUGAGCGGCCGCAAAAUAUCCUGACACGCCGAAGAAGAUAAUCGCGGAGAAUAAAUAUCAUCUGGAUGAAGGAGUGAUGGAUGAAACCGGCCUCUUCUGGAAGAAGAUGCUUUCUAUCACUUUACUGAUGAAGGAGGAAACACGGACUCCUGGUUUUAAGGCAUCAAGUGACAGAGCGACACUCGUAAUGUGUGUCAUAAAGUACACUAUGAUACAGUCUAUGAUAGACUGAACAGAAAAAAAUUAUUUAUGUUGGGCAAUAUCCUAAAGUUCAUUAAUAAAUGUUUUACAAAGCAUCCACAAUGUUUCAGAAGGGUUUUUGAUGAGUUAUUGAUGAUUGGAUGCCGUUGUUGGAGGACAGAGGCCUCUGUUUUGACCCACUCCACCAAUGUUAACUGCAUCCCCUUAGGAUAUGAACACACCAGGAGGAUGGUGGUCACGCUGGACCCUGCCAUGAC